Molecule: ribosomal RNA, 271 nt
Filed under: uncultured bacterium
Lineage: Bacteria
Description: partial 16S ribosomal RNA
Rfam family: Bacterial small subunit ribosomal RNA
Source: RNAcentral
UACGGAGGGAGCUAGCGUUGUUCGGAAUUACUGGGCGUAAAGCGCACGUAGGCGGCUACACAAGUCAGAGGUGAAAGCCCGGGGCUCAACCCCGGAACUGCCUUUGAAACUAGGUGGCUAGAAUCUUGGAGAGGUCAGUGGAAUUCCGAGUGUAGAGGUGAAAUUCGUAGAUAUUCGGAAGAACACCAGUGGCGAAGGCGACUGACUGGACAAGUAUUGACGCUGAGGUGCGAAAGCGUGGGGAGCAAACAGGAUUAGAUACCCGCGUAGU